GAUGAACGCUGGCGGCGUGCCUAAUACAUGCAAGUCGAGCGAACAGACGAGGAGCUUGCUCCUCUGACGUUAGCGGCGGACGGGUGAGUAACACGUGGAUAACCUACCUAUAAGACUGGGAUAACUUCGGGAAACCGGAGCUAAUACCGGAUAAUAUAUUGAACCGCAUGGUUCAAUAGUGAAGGACGGUUUUGCUGUCACUUAUAGAUGGAUCCGCGCCGCAUUAGCUAGUUGGUAAGGUAACGGCUUACCAAGGCAACGAUGCGUAGCCGACCUGAGAGGGUGAUCGGCCACACUGGAACUGAGACACGGUCCAGACUCCUACGGGAGGCAGCAGUAGGGAAUCUUCCGCAAUGGGCGAAAGCCUGACGGAGCAACGCCGCGUGAGUGAUGAAGGUCUUCGGAUCAUAAAACUCUGUUAUUAGGGAAGAACAAAUGUGUAAGUAACUAUGCACGUCUUGACGGUACCUAAUCAGAAAGCCACGGCUAACUACGUG
Molecule: ribosomal RNA, 497 nt
Filed under: uncultured bacterium
Lineage: Bacteria
Description: partial 16S ribosomal RNA
Rfam family: Bacterial small subunit ribosomal RNA
Source: RNAcentral